This 169-nucleotide ribosomal RNA is filed under the name Artocarpus primackii. Its description in RNAcentral is "5.8S ribosomal RNA". It matches the Rfam family "5.8S ribosomal RNA". Rfam says of the family: 5.8S ribosomal RNA (5.8S rRNA) is a component of the large subunit of the eukaryotic ribosome. Lineage: Eukaryota; Viridiplantae; Streptophyta; Magnoliopsida; Rosales; Moraceae. The record is from RNAcentral. RNAcentral also lists the same sequence under 1 other name.
UAACAACGACUCUCGGCAACGGAUAUCUCGGCUCUCGCAUCGAUGAAGAACGUAGCGAAAUGCGAUACUUGGUGUGAAUUGCAGAAUCCCGUGAACCAUCGAGUCUUUGAACGCAAGUUGCGCCCGAAGCCUUCCGGCCAAGGGCACGUCUGCCUGGGCGUCACACACC